AAGGCAGGGGACUGCAAAUCCUUUAUCCCCAGUUCAAAUCUGGGUGCCGCCU
RNAcentral lists this transfer RNA (52 nucleotides) under Pseudoroegneria spicata. RNAcentral describes it as "partial tRNA-Cys". It matches the Rfam family "tRNA", at positions 20 to 71 of the family's 71-position model. From Rfam's summary of the family: Transfer RNA (tRNA) molecules are approximately 80 nucleotides in length. Their secondary structure includes four short double-helical elements and three loops (D, anti-codon, and T loops). The record is from RNAcentral. Lineage: Eukaryota; Viridiplantae; Streptophyta; Magnoliopsida; Poales; Poaceae.